AUUGCAUCUGACCAUUUUUCAUGACAUAAAAACGGUGUCAUUUGGCAGCUAAAAACCUAUCUUUAUUAGUGUGUGAAAAGUAAAUCUAUAAACUUAGACUAGUACGAUAACAUGCUGAAAUUGUUUUACCUUUUUUGAUACACCCUGCACUAUACAUGUUGCAAGGUUUUCGAGAUUUCCAUCUACAAAAAACCAUUCAACAUUUAAUAUAUCGAUUGAGAUGCCUGAAUUCCUGAUAUUUACCCAUAUACCUUACAUUGUCAUCACGUAGUAUGUACUGUAUACAUGAACUUGUGGUUGAAACUCG
Molecule: non-coding RNA, 307 nt
Organism: Paramuricea clavata
Lineage: Eukaryota; Metazoa; Cnidaria; Anthozoa; Malacalcyonacea; Plexauridae
Source: the annotation of a GenBank genome assembly